CCGGCGACCGGCGCACGGGUGAGUAACACGUAUGCAACCUGGCCGUCACAGGUGGAUAACCGGAAGAAAUUCCGACUAAUACAGCAUAACACUCCUGAGGGACAUUCUUCGGGAGUCAAAGGAGGCAACUCCGGUGACGGAUGGGCAUGCGGCGCAUUAGGUAGUUGGUAGGGUAACGGCCUACCAAGCCGACGAUGCGUAGGGGUUCUGAGAGGAAGGUCCCCCACAUUGGAACUGAGACACGGUCCAAACUCCUACGGAAGGCAGCAG
This 270-nucleotide ribosomal RNA is filed under the name uncultured bacterium. Its description in RNAcentral is "partial 16S ribosomal RNA". It matches the Rfam family "Bacterial small subunit ribosomal RNA", at positions 88 to 354 of the family's 1533-position model. The record is from RNAcentral.